GAUGAACGCUGGCGGCGUGCCUAAUACAUGCAGGUAGAACGCUGAAGGAGGAGCUUGCUCUUCUGGAUGAGUUGCGAACGGGUGAGUAACGCGUAGGUAACCUGCCUGGUAGCGGGGGAUAACUAUUGGAAACGAUAGCUAAUACCGCAUGACAACAGUUAUUGCAUGAUAACUGUUUAAAAGGGGCAACUGCUCCACUACCAGAUGGACCUGCGUUGUAUUAGCUAGUUGGUGAGGUAACGGCUCACCAAGGCGACGAUACAUAGCCGACCUGAGAGGGUGAUCGGCCACACUGGGACUGAGACACGGCCCAGACUCCUACGGGAGGCAGCAGUAGGGAAUCUUCGGAAAUGGACGGAAGUCUGACCGAGCAACGCCGCGUGAGUGAAGAAGGUUUUCGGAUCGUAAAGCUCUGUUGUAAGAGAAGAACGAGUGUGAGAGUGGAAAGUUCACACUGUGACGGUAGCUUACCAGAAAGGGACGGCUAACUACGUG
RNAcentral lists this ribosomal RNA (495 nucleotides) under uncultured bacterium. Its description in RNAcentral is "partial 16S ribosomal RNA". It matches the Rfam family "Bacterial small subunit ribosomal RNA", at positions 28 to 507 of the family's 1533-position model. The record is from RNAcentral.